CUUCGUCAGAGAAGCUGAAUCAGCAAGUCAAGCAUGCGAUGGCUGCAGCAGCUGGAGAACUCCGGAGGUCAUUAUGGCUCUUCACACACACGAGAGAAGAAAGAGGGAGGAGCAGAGAGCAGAGGAAACUGAGAUGACAGCGCGUGGCCGGUCAGCCGCGGUGUGGUCGGUUAGAGGGAGUGGAGUUUACAGCUCUGCAGCAGCAGGACGAAAAAAACUACUUCUCUGGGAACACCUCGGGAAAUUGCUGGUCAGGCAGCAGGCUGCUGCAGCACAGCCCUCUCUGGCUCAUUACCUCCUCGUGGCUGCAGCACCAAAGACAUCUAAAAGAGGGACUCAGAAACUCACUGUCCCUGAAGCGUGAAGCUUUUAUCUUGGAUCUUUUUCACUCUGAGGCACUUUCAGAUGGAAUACAACUCUAUCGGGAUGGUUACACACUUUGCCAAGACUCAGUUUUCCAUUGGCCAGCCAUUAUUACUGGAACCAUGUUUGGCGUUUCAAGACCGUUUUUGUAAUAGCAGGGGGACAGGUGAACGCUAGCCAUGGAGGGGCUUUGGUGUCACAGUGGGACGCAAGUUUCAGGCCAGGUGGGGGGUGAAUUGGACUGAUGGAUAAACAGAUGUGCUGGCAUAUAAAUUCUCCAGGGAGAGCGGUUCGGUGGCUACUGGAUAUGUGUGUCAGUGAGUGAACCCACAACACUCAGGGUAGUAACCUAGUUUCUCUCAGUCUCUCUGCAUGCUUUCUAAUCACUAGGCAGGGGCAGAGCUGUAAUGCUGCAGUGCCAUCUCCCCUUCUCAACACACUCAUCCCUAAAUCUUCACUAACACUGUGGCGCUACAAGAGUCCAGCCAUACCUCGCAUCAUAUCUAACCCCGUCAAGCACCACAAACCCAUCCAGGAUUUCCACCCCUGCCCAGAAUAGCCUGUCUAAGUGUCCUUCUGUCAUGUUUCCACCCCUGCACCUCUCCUUUUGGCCUGGUAUUGGAUAGGCUUCUCAGAGGAGGGGGAUGAGACAGGGCGGUGUUGACUUGUGGAAUGUGUGGAGCUGGAGCAAAGAUUCAUUAGAGAGCUACUGAACAUUUCAUGCUGCCAUGCAAACAGUUAUUGAUCUCUAGCACACAGCAUUAGAGCUCUAGAGUAGCUUCUAGAAUAAAAACAACCAGGUCAAAAAAAAAAAAAGGAAUAUGGGGGGUUGCAGGUAAAAAAAAGGGGGAGUAGGGGAGGAGAAUCAGCACACUUGUGACCAAUCACUUUUGCUGAGUGAGCAUUAGUUCUUGCAUGUGACCUCUGGCCUGGUCUGUGUGGCUAAAGCCCAAAUCCUGCUCACAAUAGCUUCCUGUUCCACUUGGAUCAACCUCAUUUUUGGACCUCAGCAACCAUUCUGACAUACAACUGAGAAUGUGGUUAAACAACGGACAACCAGAUGGAAAAUGGGUGAAAAACACUGGAAAAACAGAUGGAAAUGGGUAAAAAGGAGAUGCAUAGCAUGUUCAGGACACGGUUACAUUAGAAAUGCGUCUUUUUUCCUCCAAGGAGUCCUUUGAACUUUCAUGGACAAGAACUGCAGGCAACAAGGACAGCACAGGACCACUUUCCCCUAAUUUUUAACAGGAUUUUUUUUUACUAAAUUUAGAAAAAGACCACCCCCCCACCCCCAACAAAAAAGCAAAUAACUCUAUGGCACCAUUCUUUUCCAGAUUCCCUACGGAUACCCCACACUCUCUCGAGGACAGCCAAGGUCAACAGAAGAUACAAAACUGAGUGAACCCCAAUAUGUCUAAUGCUCACUGCGAACACUGUUGGAAUAAGGCAAAAGAAAAAAAGCGUGACCUAAAGAAUCAGUGAAAGUCACUUUAUGUAUAAACCGCUGCAUUCUGCAGGAUGGUAAAAAAAGAAAAGAAAAAAGAAGCCACUUAUCUACUGAUGUGAUUAAACAUGUUUGGUUUAAAUAAGGGCCGCGCUAACCAAACGUCAUAUCAGAGAAGGUAAGAAAACUCAGCUCUGUCUGGGGCUGCCUACUUGGUGUACAUACUUCUUUAUGUGCCCAUAUGAACAUAUGACAGCUAUGGAAUGUAAAGAAGUAUGUAUUCUUGGUCAGGUGCUGAUCCUCCGUUUUGAAAAUGUACCAUAAUUCUCUGCAUCACUGAAUAUGGGCACAUGGAAACAGCAUGAUGGAUUUUGUAACUGUCGUGCAGAAAGUUACUGCAGCAGUGGAUUCGGGGAGAAGUUGCUGCUCUUUCAGUGACAUCACCAGCAGUCCACACCACCUCUCCCUAAUUUAGCAACUAACCUGCGUGAUUGUCAUGCUAUAGUUUCAUUUCUGCAGGUAGACUAUUGGUAGAUAUACUGAUUUGUAGUGCCCAAUUUCUUGGUGAAAGAAUGACUUCAGUCACUGCUACCUCAAAUAUCCAAUAACAGCUUGAAACAUCGCCAUAGGAACAGGAGCUCCUUUCAUUAUUGGAGGGUUUGCUGCAUUCUAAGCUUUGAAUUGUGGCCAGCUGCAACCAAGAUCCUGUUUUUGCAGGAGUGGCAUGCGCCAGAACCAUUAAUGCCUUCAUCUUUUUAUGUCCCUUAAACGUUUUAUCUCACUACACGGAAGCUGCUGAGGUAACCGUUCCAUAAAGGUGAGCAGAGCUUGGCUAUUAAAAAAGGAAGCUUCUCUCACAUUAUGGGAUAGGAGCGUUGUCUGUUUCACCCUGACACCCGUUCCUGCCCCUAUUGUUCAUGUUUGCUAGGCUUGCCAAAUGCUUUGCUGGUGCACAGAGUAGUCAGAUUAGAGCAUGGAAAAGUGACAAUGCAGGAUCAGAGUUGGGUCUGCCUGUCAGCUGAUUCCAAUUGUCCUGCAAAAGGUAGAACAGGGGCCUCUUUUUCACUUUUGGACUGCGGGUGUGCAGCAGGUCACAAUGAAAAUCAUUGUAAAAACAGCAGCAUGAUUGUACAAGUAGAACAAAUGUAUUACACAAUGCUGAACCUUUAAACCGAUCAACAGGUGAUCAAAUAGUUGUGGGAGGGGACAAGAUAACAGAGGACUAUUAUACUUUCAGGGGUUUGAAUGCUCCUCUACUCCAGGUGUUUGGUAGCACACCACGUCAUCGAUCUACUGAGGAUGAGGAAAGUGAUGCUCACUGGCAGCAUAGCUUCAGCCCACUCUCCAUGUCCUCUCUGAAGUAGUUUGAUGCGAUCAAUGUCAUAGCAGAUCUGGACCAAGUCUCCCACCAUGAACUGAGAGCUGCCUCCCUCAGCACCAGCUGCCACCUCUCCACUACGUACAACGUUUGCCUUUGUGAGAACCGCUGGGUUAAAUGUCCACCUGGAACACACAAAAGGGCUUUGUGUUCAUUUCAAAGGAUACUGCACAACAAUGUCAUGGUCUUCAUCAAUGCCGCACACAGUGCCUGUGGUUGUGAGUGUUUCAAACAUGCCAUCAGUCCAACCUCCGUGACCAUGCUGCAGCGACUGAACGAUCUCCAGGUCCAAAUCAAUGUUGAC
This is a long non-coding RNA of Carassius gibelio (silver crucian carp), 3489 nucleotides long. RefSeq lists it as uncharacterized. The transcript is spliced from 5 exons. The record is from RefSeq and is a predicted model, not a curated record. NCBI's taxonomy places the organism in Eukaryota, Metazoa, Chordata, Actinopteri, Cypriniformes, Cyprinidae.